This 497-nucleotide ribosomal RNA is filed under the name uncultured bacterium. RNAcentral describes it as "partial 16S ribosomal RNA". It matches the Rfam family "Bacterial small subunit ribosomal RNA", at positions 28 to 507 of the family's 1533-position model. The record is from RNAcentral.
GACGAACGCUGGCGGCGUGCCUAAUACAUGCAAGUUGAGCGCUGAAGGUUGGUACUUGUACCGACUGGAUGAGCAGCGAACGGGUGAGUAACGCGUGGGGAAUCUGCCUUUGAGCGGGGGACAACAUUUGGAAACGAAUGCUAAUACCGCAUAAAAACUUUAAACACAAGUUUUAAGUUUGAAAGAUGCAAUUGCAUCACUCAAAGAUGAUCCCGCGUUGUAUUAGCUAGUUGGUGAGGUAAAGGCUCACCAAGGCGAUGAUACAUAGCCGACCUGAGAGGGUGAUCGGCCACAUUGGGACUGAGACACGGCCCAAACUCCUACGGGAGGCAGCAGUAGGGAAUCUUCGGCAAUGGACGAAAGUCUGACCGAGCAACGCCGCGGGAGUGAAGAAGGUUUUCGGAUCGUAAAACUCUGUUGGUAGAGAAGAACGUUGGUGAGAGUGGAAAGCUCAUCGAGUGACGGUAACUACCCAGAAAGGGACGGCUAACUACGUG